GUUUUAGGGGAUUUGGGGCUUUAUAUCGUUAAUUCAUACCCGCACCUGUUCUUUGCAUGGACAAAAACUUAGCCAUUUGAAAAUAACUUCCACAUUUGCUGCCCUAAAAGGAGGAAACAGGCCCUAAUGUUUAUGAAUGCAGAAGCUCUGGAAUCAGGCCCGUUCCUAGUCGAGUGCUAAUUUGCCAGUAGAGGGCUCUCUCCUUUUGGGAAAAAUAAACGUCUCCAGAAAAGAUUUUGAGUGUAAUACUCAGGCUCCGAGUGUGGUGUCUCCGUACUUGGUUGGUGUGUCAUUCCCCUGAAAGUUUAGGGAUUAACUGAGUACUGCCUUUGUCGGUGUGUAGGGUGGGUUUAUGUGUGAGGAGGUGUGGGGAGGAAGUGGGUUCCCCAGGGGCUUUAGGGGAAGGCCUGUGAUCUGACCUAGACUAGGGGAUUAUAGCUUUCCCCUCCUUUAGAAUGUGAGGCAUCCCAGCCUGGUUCUGUAUUUCCAGAUUAGAAUCCACUCACUCCUACACCUGGAUCCCUGGGCUACCCUUGUGAGAUGUGUUAACAGGGCACUUAACCCUUGUUUACCAAGCCCUGUUUAUAUAUAUAACCCCUCGUGACUGCUCUUUGAGGCGGAGGCUCCCAGGGUCAGGUGAAAAUCAACUUGGGCGUUGCCAAGGGGAAAAGGAAAAGAGCCAGCGUCCACGGAGCAGUUCCUGAGCAACAAAUAAUGUUUCAGAUGAAGGCUGCUCCGUUAACCUUGAUCCCAGAAUGAAGAAAGGGUGAAGCCUAGCUGCGGUUGACCCAUGAUGGGCAUACCGUACUUCACAAAGGAACAUAAAAGACAAGUACCAGGAAAAGACAUAUUUAUACGGAAGAAAAAAAGGUGAAAACCAAAAUGACCCAAAUGAAAAGAAGAUAAAUAUCAUUCCUCAAACAAUACCUUCACAUCAUAGUUGGAAAAAGUGGAAAGAGACAGAAAACGGGCUGCUGGGUCUCCAGAAGGUAUGCACAGCAUGGGAAUUCCUCCUGCAACAUCUCUUCAGAUGGUCUUUGAGAUGACCUCCUCUUACCUUCCAGACCAGGUGAACAGAUGAGAAGACUAUGUUACAUCCCUACAGUGGACUAUGAUUCAGUGAUUAAAAAGAAAUGAGCUAUCGAGUUAUAAAAAUACAUGUAUG
Molecule: non-coding RNA, 1165 nt
Organism: Sus scrofa (pig)
Lineage: Eukaryota; Metazoa; Chordata; Mammalia; Artiodactyla; Suidae
Source: RefSeq, a predicted model, not a curated record